This is an RNA transcript of Homo sapiens (human), 6504 nucleotides long. It is a transcript of the gene named family with sequence similarity 120A2, pseudogene, with no coding region annotated. The transcript has 3 exons. Lineage: Eukaryota; Metazoa; Chordata; Mammalia; Primates; Hominidae. The record is from RefSeq and is marked validated. The annotation marks the transcript as partial.
AUGCUGGGCUCAGCCCGACCCUGCUUUGGCCGCUGCCCGCCGGGUCUCCAGCGCCGCCGGACCCUCACGCCGCCACCUUCUCUCCAGCCCAGCGCCGCUGCGGCCGCAGCCUCCUGCCGAGCAUCUUCCAGAUCCCAAUCCCUGAGAAUCAGUUCUGGGAUGUAACAGAGCAAGCGGACAUUAUUCUGGGACCAGCAAGCCUCGGUCACUGCAGCCACCACACUACGUGGCAGCCAGACCCGGUCCGUUUGGAAUGCCUGGGAUGGUGCCGCCGCAUGUUCCUCCUCAGAUGCUCAACAUUCCGCAGACCUCUCUGCAAGCAAAGCCCGUGGCCCCACAGGUGCCCAGCCCAGGGGGCGCCCCGGGCCAGGGUCCAUACCCGUACAGCCUCUCUGAGCCAGCACCUCUCACUUUGGACACGAGCGGGAAGAAUCUGACGGAGCAGAACAGCUACAGCAACAUUCCUCACGAAGGGAAGCACACGCCGCUGUAUGAGCGGUCCUUGCCCAUCAACCCGGCCCAGAGCGGCAGCCCCAACCACGUGGAUUCCGCCUACUUCCCUGGCUCUUCUACAUCGUCAUCUUCCGACAACGACGAGGGCAGCGGAGGGGCGACAAAGUGAGUGGUGCGUGGGUCGCUGGGUGCUUCCUGGCGGGUAGUGACCUGGGGAAGCUGCCUUCUGACCUGCCAGCCCAGCUGGUGUUUUGCUCAGAGAUGUAGUUUAUUGUAGGUGGGUGACGGUCAGUCUGUACUCAGAUGGGGGCUCCUUGGACAGAGAGGAGAGAGGAAGAGUAGGUAUGUUCUUGAAGUUUCCAUGAUUUAAAAUCUGCACCAUCCCAGCCCCAUGGCCUGGAGCCACAGGAAACUUUCUGGGGAGGAAUUUGACAAGAACUGGUUUGUGUGAUGACCAAAACAUGGGGGCAUUUGUCCGGUGUGGUGCCACUCACACCCGUCACAGCAACCCCCUGCUGACCCCCGAAACAUUAAUCUUCUGGCUCCUGGAUCAAGGGAGCUCUGAAUUUCCACUCCUUCUCCUAAACUCAGCAGGUUACAGGACACUUUGGAAAUAACACUGUUUGCCCAAGCAAAACCCUAGAAAGCUGCCUAGACCCAGGCUGGAAUUGUUUCCUUAGAGGAAUAUUUUAAACACUGUGCGGGCUGGAUGCAGUGGCACAUACCUGUAAUCCCAGCACUUUGGAAGGCCAAGGCAGGUGGAUUACCUGAGGUUGGGAGUUCGAGACCAGCCUGGCCAACAUGGCGAAACCCCGUCUGUACUAAAAAUACAAAAAUUGGCCGGGCGUGGUGGCAUGUGCCUGUAGUCCCAGCUACUCAGGAGGCUGAGUUAGGAGGAUCACUUGAACCCAGGAGACAGAGGUUGAAGUGAGCUGAGAUGUCGCCAGUGCACUAUGGCCUGGGUGACAGAGCGAGACUCCAUCUCAAAAAAUACAAACAAUAAUAAUAAUAAAAACACUGUGUGUCCCUGAGUAAAUGAGUUCACAAAUAUAUAGUUGUUUAAAAUCUGAUCGAAGAGGCUGGGCACGGUGGCCCAUGCCUGUAAUCCCAGCACUUUGGGAGGCAGUGGCAGGCGGAUCACUUGAGUUCAGGAGUUCAAGACCAGCUUGGCCAACAUGGUAAAACCCCAUCUCUACUAAAAAAUAUAAAAACUAGCCAGGCGUGGUGGCGUUCACCUGUAAUCCCAGCUACUCUGGAGGCUGAGGCAGGAGAAUCGCUUGAACCUGGGAGUUGGAGGCUGCAGUGAGCCGAGAUCACGCCACUGCACUCCAGCCUGGGUGACGGAGCAAAACUCCGACUGUGGAAAAAAAAAAAUUCUGAUCAAGGAAAUCUUAAAUUUGUACUCCUCCCCUCCCUUUAAACUAAUAUUUUUUUUAAAAAAAAAAGAAAGAGAAAGAAAAUGUCUUUACUUUAAGUCAGUGUCUCUUUUUCCUUAGUGUGAACUCCACAGAGUAGAUAACCAGGGCUGGUUGAUGUUACAUCUAUUUCUGAUGUAAGAAAUCUAAGAGACGUAGUUGUUAGUUUCCAUGCCAGUUCUUACCUGGUGUGUCACCUGAAGCAGGUGAUCUUUCCUCUCUGUCCUCUGUCCCUCUUUAAAAUGGGAACGAAUGUCGGUUGACCCAGGGCAGAGGUCACUGAAGGGCUCACUGCUAUCCAGGGAUGCACACCCUGUUUAUGGCAAAGAAGUAUAAAAUUAAUAAAUGUUGAUUUGCUGUAUGUGCAGAGAAGUAUAAAAUUAAUAAAUGUUUAUUUGCUAUGUGUGCAAUGCUAAAACUCUAAAAUGAAGUAAAGAGUUGCAAUUGAAUAUUCAAAGUUUUAAAUUAACCUCUAACAAGAUAAUAUAUUGAGUACCCUUUGAAUCAGAAUCUCUGGGUUGGGGCCCCAAAAUUUGCAUUUUAAAUAAGCACCUCAGUCAGUCUUUUGCACACUGAAGUUUGAGAACUGCUUGAUGGUCUUGGAAGCCCUUAUGCACUAGAAUUAUAAGGCAUCUGCAUUUUGUUGUAAAAUGUGACUCAUGUCAUCAAGGUCAAAGUGUCUGUACAAUACAGUUUUCAUCUUAGUUAAAUGUUCUUUCUGAACUCUGAAACAUAGGUAAGAAGUAAGACAAAAGCAAAAUAAGUAAGCUUUAUGACCCCAACAAGAGUUCCGUGCUAGUGAUGGAGAUGUGGAAACCAGGUCAAGGUGCUGACUUGGGAACAUGGGUGGUGACUGGGGCACGUCUCAGUUGAGAUGCUUGUUCCUCCGGCAGGGAGGGAUUGAGAAGAAUGCGAGUUGCCCGUCUAAUUUGGCAAGUUGUCUGUAUUAGUCUGUUCUCAUGCUGCUAAUAAAGACAUUACCCAAGACUGGGUAACUUGCAAAGGAAAGAGGUUUAAUUGACUCAGAGUUUCCACAUGGCUGGAGAGGCGUCACAAUCGUGGUGGAUGGCAAAGGAGGAGCAAAGUCACGUCUUGCAUGGCAGCAGGCAAGAGAGCAUGUGCAGGGGAACUUACCUUUAUAAAACCAUCAGAUCUUGUAAGAUUUAUUCACUGUCACAAGAAUAGCACAGGAAAGACAUUCAAUGACCUCCCACCAGAUACCUACCAUGACCUGUGGGAAUUAUGGGAGCUGCAAUUCAAGAUGAGAUUUGGGUGGGGACACAACCAAACCAUAUCAUCAUCUUUGUUAGGAUGAGCUGAACUUGGAGUGAGUAGAACUGCCCGAACAUGUCCUGUCUUUUCUGGGUAUGCACCUCCUACCUGUCUGUGAAGGUUAUCGUCAGCUUUUUGGAGCUCUGGGCAUCUGGUCUCCCUCUGACCUCUCGCAGUGCUUAUUGUCUUUGUCUCCGUUAUGGCAUCUUUACUGUUUUCUGGAGAUGCAUCUUGUUUCUGCCACUGGAAUUUGACCUGCUCAGAGUCUUGUGUUUUGCCAUCCUUGUAGUAUGAAGUGCCAUGAAGAAUGCAGGGUACACCCUGUAAUCAAAUAUUGGAUUCAAGCUGUGUGUUAGGAGUAACUUAAUUUCCUUGAAUCUGCUUCCACUUUUAUUAUAAUAAGGAAGAGACAGACAUGUUAGACUUGAGAGGAAUGAAGGCAGAGGAGACGAGGGUGUUUGUUCCUGAAGGCUUUGGGGUCAGAAACUGACAUUUGACUUGGGGUCAAACCCUUGAUCACGGGCAUCCUUUGCUUCUGGCAGGUGCAGGGGUGUGAUUUGGAUUUAUGUGUCCACAGCUGCCAAGUAGAGACAAUGUUCAUGGUUUCCUGCAAGGGUUCUAGCGUGUUGAAUGCAUUGAAUAUAGUGGAGCAGAAGCCCAUGAGUAGAAACCUCCGCAGGAACCAAUGUGAGUGCAAGGAAACCUAAACUGUCAUUGAUAGAUUGUUGGAGGCUCAACAUGGACAAACCUGAGAAUUGAAGACUCCAGAGGGCCUGGUGAUGUGGGGGUCCACAUGCUUUUGUGCACUUUACCUGCUAGAUCUCUACGAAAUUCUCACAGUAAAUAUUGGAGAAAAAUCCCUUGUACCUCUGGCGCGGGGAAGAAAAAGAGAAUUAUUUAAAAAUGUGAGAGAACACUUUUUUUUUGAGACAGAGUCUUGCUCUGUCACCCAGGCUGGAGUGCAAUGGCACGAUCUCGGCUUACUGCAAGCUCCGCCUCCCAGGUUCAAGCGAUUCUCCUGCCUCAGCCUCCCAAGUAGCUGGGAUUACAGGCGUGAGCCACCACACCCAGCCAGAACACUCUGUUCUUAACAAGGCCUUCUGUCAGGAGAAACUACCUAACCAGAGCCUAACCUGCUGGGUUUCACAAGAACCUAAUUAAUCUGAGGGAAAGGAAACACCCAAAUCUAGCUCCCCAUAGCUAUCCCAUUCCAGCUAAGCAGGGCCAGGGACUGAGAAUCACAUUUGAAGAUCACAGCCCAGAGACUCCUUAUAAGACUCAGGCCUAAUAAUUGGACUAUAGAACCUGUGCCCCCCUGAAAAGAGAAAAAACAAAUCAUAUAAAGUGCUCAACUGAAACAAGAGAAAGAAGAAAAAGAAUGGAAGACAUGGAGAAAGAAUGGAAAACAGUAACAAAUAUAGUAAGUAGCUCUUAAUCCACAUAUAUCAAUAAUUAAACAUCAGUGAUGUACAUAUGCAAAUUAAAAGAAAGAGGCUGUUGGAUCGAAUCAAGACCCAGCUAUCUGUGUCUACAAGAAACUCAUAUAUGAAGACUCGUUCUCUUUCUGUUAACAAAUGGUUACAAGUACUGUGAUGUGCGAAUUACUGAGGUUUAUUGUGGAAUGAACACAGGAACUCUAUUUGAAUCACUGCGUGAAUGGAGACGUGGUGAAUGGUUCAGGGUAGAUGGUGUAAGUCACAGAAUGUUCUAGUAGAUGGGGAAACACGCCAUGGCCACUGAGUGUUAUUCAUUUACUUUCUCUGUUGUGCAAUUGCAAAGUUCCUAUUGUUGGUCGACUUUUAAAUAGAAUAUUUCUAAGUAAAUAGUGAGACAAGUUAUUCUAGUUAUUAUCAUAGUCUUUUCCAAGUGUCAAGGCUUUUUAAAAAUAUAGUUGAAGUCAUGGUAAUUUUUUAAGGAAAUGUUUUUGUAGGCCUCCCAAAUGACAGUGUGUUAGAAUAGAAAUUUUUCUUUUUUUUUUUUGAGAUGGAGUCUCACUCUGUCACCCAGACUGGAGUGCAGUGGUGCGAUCUCAGCUCACUGCAAGCUCCGCCUCCUGGGUUCAUGCCAUUCUCCUGCCUCAGCCUCCCAAGUAGCUGGGACUACAGGGGCCCGCCACCACGCCCAGCUAAUUUUUUUGUAUUUUUAGUAGAGGCGGGGUUUCACCAUGUUAGCCAGGAUGGUCUCGAUCUCCUGACCUCAUGAUCUGCCCGCUUUGGCCUCCCAAAGUGCUGGGAUUACAGGCGUGAGCCACCGCACCUGGCCUAGAAUAGACAUUUUUAAAUUAAGUAUUUAGAACAGAUUUUUUUAGUCAACAGAUUUUCUUUCAGGGAUAAUCUUUUUUUCUGUGCUUCUUUCCCUCAAUGCCUUCUUUGUCCUUAUUUCUCAAUGGUUGUUGUGUUUUCCCCUCUUCAUUUGUUUUUACUCUCAUAAAGCUUCACAACCAUUUCUGCAGUGCUUCUUUUUGUUGCUGUGUGCUUAGCAUGCAGUAGUAUUUUUAUUUGAACAUUUUCAUACCUUAGGUUAAGAUUUUCACAGUUUCUAGUACAUUAUCUUUUGCAUUUAUUGUUGUGAUUAUUCUCUUUGAAGUGACAGCAGAGCUUUCAACACCUGUUUUCUUACACUGGGUGUCUGGAUUCUGGGAAGACUCCAGGAGUAGGUGAGAAGACCUUUUCAGUUUGUCUGGUCGUGUCAGUAAAUACUGUCUUAUGUUAGUAAAUCACAUAAUUGCUAAAUUCCUUAAGAUUACAUCAUCUGAAGGGAGGGUGUCGUGUCUAAAUAGCUGCACCUCCAAGAACACCUGAUACACAGGUCGGCAGCAUCAGAAAAAGUGGCUUUUGCUGAAAGUUAUAUUUUCCUACAACGUACAUUUUUUAUGGUCUUUGGAAUUAUUCACAAAAUGUGAUGAUCAUUAGCUGUCUCUUAGCCAUCUCGGAAGAGUAGAGUUUGCCACGGUAUCACUUAGUGAUUGUGGACAUUCAUUAAACAGAGGCUGAGCCAAUAGCGAAAAGAAUGCAAAUGUGCCCUUGUAAAUGGGUUAGUAAACAUUUCUUUUAUUGCAUAAGACACUGGGAGUGAAUGGUAUUUUUCCACACCCAUGGGUGUUAGUUAUACAUAUAACCUGUGUUUCAUGAAUAUUUAUAUGUUAUAUGUAACUAUUUUAAAGUAGUUUGUGACAUUACCUAGCAUAGAAAGUAGUUAAAUAGUAUAAUUCCAACUCCAAAAUUUGAUUUUUAAAGUGCAACACAAGGUGUCUUAUAUUUUCUGUGACAUAUGCCUUUCACAAUUCACUGACCUUUAAGAAAAAGUAGUUGGCAAACAACUAACUGAUGGUAUCAGAAUAAUAAAAGCUUUUUUAAUUCCAAAA